This 250-nucleotide unclassified non-coding RNA is filed under the name Melitaea cinxia (Glanville fritillary). Its description in RNAcentral is "misc RNA ENSMCXG00005013780.1". The record is from RNAcentral. Lineage: Eukaryota; Metazoa; Arthropoda; Insecta; Lepidoptera; Nymphalidae.
AUAGUCAAGUAACUGCGCGUUAUCAAAGAUUACUCAAAAAGUAGUUAUCAGAUUUCAAUAAAAUUUAUAUGUGACCACAUGACAAACAUCAGCUUUCGAUUAAAUUAAAAAUUAUUAAAAUCGGUACACCCAGUAAAAAGUUAUUGCGGAUUUUCAAGAAUUUCCCUCGAUUUCUCUGAGAUUCCAUCAUCAGAUCCUGGUUUUCUUAUCAUGGUACUAAACUAGGGAUAUCUCCUUUCCAACAAAAAAA